UUUCAGACUAACAUCCCAAAUCAGUCUUUAAUAAAGAACAACAGGACCAAGGGACAAACAAGGGCAUACAUAAAAAUGAAAAGAACAAAGGUGAAGAUAUUUAAAGGAUAUAUUAUGGCUUGAUUCAAUCGAAAGAAACUGGGAAGGAAUUUUCAUCGAUAGAUAUCAGUCACGAGUAUUUAUCCUUUUGGUAAUACUAAGGUAUACGCUGAACAAUAAUGUUACGGAUUUUCCACACCCUAGGGGAGUUCUAGCUCUUACUUGAACAAACAAUGCAUGUCAAGCCAAAAACAAUAUUGAUACAUUAUGUGGGAAAUGUAAUGAAAUUACAAGGUUUUUCAGUCGAACUUAAGGUCCCUGGUUAUAUAAUAUAUAAAUCAGUGUUGUAUUAUUUAAAUUAAACAAUGAAAAGACA
Long non-coding RNA from Mytilus trossulus (common blue mussel), 415 nucleotides. RefSeq lists it as uncharacterized. The transcript has 2 exons. Lineage: Eukaryota; Metazoa; Mollusca; Bivalvia; Mytilida; Mytilidae. The record is from RefSeq and is a predicted model, not a curated record.